This 1688-nucleotide long non-coding RNA is filed under the name Malus domestica (apple). Its description in RNAcentral is "long non-coding RNA (MDOM_LNC010860)". The record is from RNAcentral. Lineage: Eukaryota; Viridiplantae; Streptophyta; Magnoliopsida; Rosales; Rosaceae.
CUACAAUCUUUAUAUCCAUGGUCCAGUAUACACAAAUAUGUAGAAAUCCAAUUAAGCGUAGUGAGAAACAAAUUAACCACUUAUCAACUUGGUCGCGUCAAACAAAUAGCUAAUUUUCUAGGAAGCCACACAAACCAAUAUUCGUCUACAGUCGGAUCAAAAUAUAAAUUCAUGAUUCUCAUUCACAAAGCAUUGAUAGAAUCCAAUUCAUGGUCAGAAAUAAAUUCAUAUGCAAAUAAUUUCAGUAUCAAAAUCCUAGACUAUGGUCAAGCACAAAGAACCAAAUAUUAAAAUUACAAUUCCUCUAGUGAAUGAAAACUAAUCAUCAAUAUGAAAUUCACGAAUUAAACAAUCAUAUAACUAGAGUAAUCAUAAUUAGGGCCUCCUCUUAACCUUAGCUAAGAGUUUAGAACCCCAUGAACAAAGAAUUCAUAUUAAUUCUAAGAAGGAAAAUUUGCAUAAAAUAAAACUAGAGAAAAAGAACCAAAUUGUUACUGCUUUGCCGCUGCCUUGUUCCACGCCAGAAGAAGAAGCCGGAGUCCCCCCUCUUUGCUGCUGCUUUUCCUUUUAUCGGUUGCACACCGUGAAAAUUAAUAAGAAUCAAAGCCCUACAUGUCAAGCCCACUCCAAGUCUGAUUUAGUUUCCUUUUGAAUCCCUCUUCAAUGCUAAACUCCAACUGGAAUACGAAAGCAAAAACAUCUUCCAGCACGUCAAAUCUAUUUCCUUUUUCAUCUCUCCUUAGUCCUCCUACUUCUUUUGAGCCCAUGCCAAAAUUCAAUUUGAUUAAAAAUCAAGAAUGCCCACUCCAUCUCCAUGUACUCAAAACCACACGAAUUGGAAGUAAAAUUUGUAAAAUACUUUCCCAUCUUUCUCUCUGCUUUCGCUUGACUAAAACUCCAAAGGUAGAAUGAAGAAAAUGCAUCCACUCUCACCGCUUAAUUUGUCGGUUGAAGUCCCUCAUCUGUGGUUAAUGACAAAGGCCACGUCUCCUCUUUAACUCAUAGCCAAAUAACUUGAAGUCACACCACCAAUUGGCCUUCGAUCUAAGAAUAAAAUAAUAAUUGAUUAAAUGGAUGAAGCCAAUGGUUAGGAAGACUAUAAUGUAUAGAAUGUGUUAAGAUCACGUUAAAUUCCACUUUUAUCAAUAAGCAUCAUAAUCCUUAUAAAUUACAAAAACUUAAGUAAUUUACUAAGAAUAAUUUUUAUGAGGCACUAACAAAUAUAAAUAAUAGGGUAACAAUUGUAAUAAAUACGUGUUUAUCAUCCUUCGUAUUUUCGGAGGUGAAAUUGCCAACGGAGUCAGAAGGUGAUUCCGGUGACGACCCUCCUAGAUUGAUAGGUGCAGCUUCGUUUAUACCACCUUGAUCUGAAUGAAAAUAAAAAAAAUAAUUAAAUAAAUAAAUAAAAAGUAUUGAACAUCGAUAUUAAAUUUGGUUUAUUACAGGUAGAUGAACGCAGUGUAAUUAAAUAAUGGACCUAUGCAACUAAUAUGUACUUAGUGAAUCAUCAAAAGGGAGAAAAAUUGUUUGGUAAUUAGUAUUAGGUACUAAAUUACUAAUCAAUGGCCAUGCCAUUUUCAGAGCUUGAUCAAUAUUUGAUAAUAUCGACAAAUAACCAAAAAAGUUCGAACGCUGUACAAAUUUAAGUACUAUAAUUUGGUAUUUGUAAGUACCAAAAAAAGAAUUGC